GGAGGGGUGGCCGAGUGGUCUAAGGCGACGGUCUUGAAAACCGUUGGGCCCAAUAGGGUCUCGUGGGUUCGAAUCCCACCCCCUCCG
Molecule: transfer RNA, 87 nt
Filed under: Actinomycetota bacterium
Lineage: Bacteria; Bacillati; Actinomycetota
Description: tRNA-Ser
Rfam family: tRNA
About the family: Transfer RNA (tRNA) molecules are approximately 80 nucleotides in length. Their secondary structure includes four short double-helical elements and three loops (D, anti-codon, and T loops).
Source: RNAcentral